AUGUCGCGGAGUCGUCCCCACGCAUAAAGCACAAACAUCCCGAGACGUCCCCAGAAAGCACCGAGUCGACUCCAACAUCGUCAAAAGAAUUUCUAUACAGCCGAGACGUCUCUCGUUCAAGCGGAGACGUCUCCGGAGCGCUUGGAACGCGACUGACACACUUUUGCAGGUUUGUUUGAAUUUCAAACGGUUAUAUUUUUGUGUCUAACGGAUCUAUUGCUUGUAUGACUAUAAAAAGGAGCUUUUAAGUGCCUUUAAAAGUACUUCUCACCAACC
This 276-nucleotide long non-coding RNA is filed under the name Phoenix dactylifera (date palm). Its description in RNAcentral is "long non-coding RNA (PDAC_LNC013075)". Lineage: Eukaryota; Viridiplantae; Streptophyta; Magnoliopsida; Arecales; Arecaceae. The record is from RNAcentral.